UCUAGUCUAUUGGAACAUUUCGUCAUAGAGGGUGAGAACCCCGUAUGCGACCGUGGCACGAGCCCAUGUGAAGCCUCUUCGACGAGUCGAGUUGUUUGGGAAUGCAGCUCAAAAUGGGUGGUAAAUUUCAUCUAAAGCUAAAUACCGGCUGGAGACCGAUAGCGCACAAGUAGAGUGAUCGAAAGAUGAAAAGCACUUUGGAAAGAGAGUCAAACAGUACGUGAAAUUGUUGAAAGGGAAGCGCUGGCAACCAGACCUGUCCGUGGGCGAUCAGCCGCUGUUCUCAGCGGUGCACUCGUUCUGCGAUCAGGCCAGCAUCGGUUUCGGCGGUCNGGAUAAAGGCCCGGGGNAACGUAGCUCCCUCUCGGGGGAGUGUUAUAGCCCCGGGNCGCAAUGCGGCCAGUCGGGACCGAGGACCGCGCUUCGGCUAGGAUGCUGGCGUAAUGGCAGCUUUGGGUGUCAAACCCAUGCGCGGAAUGAAAGUGAACGGAGGUGAGAACCCUUUAGGGCGCAUCAUCGACCGAUCCAGAUGUCUUCGGAUGGAUUUGAGUAUGAGCAUAGCUGUUGGGACCCGAAAGGUAAAUACAACCCCCCCUUAAAUGCAAGUAAUUAGAAUCAUAUGCUAACUUUUGAAAAGAUGGUGAACUAUGCCUGAAUAGGGUGAAGCCAGAGGAAACUCUGGUGGAGGCUCGCAGCGGUUCUGACGUGCAAAUCGAUCGUCAAAUUUGGGUAUAGGGGCGAAAGACUAAUCGAACCA
This 757-nucleotide ribosomal RNA is filed under the name Hypotrachyna imbricatula. RNAcentral's name for it is "eukaryotic LSU rRNA". It matches the Rfam family "Eukaryotic large subunit ribosomal RNA", at positions 181 to 942 of the family's 3401-position model. The record is from RNAcentral. Lineage: Eukaryota; Fungi; Ascomycota; Lecanoromycetes; Lecanorales; Parmeliaceae.